GGGGAUGCGUCUGAUUAGGUAGUCGGCGGGGUAACGGCCCACCGAGCCAUCGAUCAGUAGGGGUUCUGAGAGGAAGGUCCCCCACAUUGGAACUGAGACACGGUCCAAACUCAUACGGGAGGCAGCAGUGAGGAAUAUUGGUCAAUGGGCGCGAGCCUGAACCAGCCAAGUAGCGUGCGGGACGACGGCCCUAUGGGUUGUAAACUGCUUUUAUGCGGGGAUAAAGUCAGUUACGCGUAACUGUUUGUAGGUACCGCGUGAAUAAGGACCGGCUAAUUCCGUGCCAGCAGCCGCGGUAAUACGGAAGGUCCGGGCGUUAUCCGGAUUUAUUGGGUUUAAAGGGAGCGCAGGCCGAUGGUUAAGCGUGACGUGAAAUGUAGCCGCUCAACGGCUGAGUUGCGUCGCGAACUGACUGUCUUGAGUGAGUUCGGUGUGGGCGGAAUUCGUGGUGUAGCGGUGAAAUGCUUAGAUAUCACGAAGAACUCCGAUUGCGAAGGCAGCCCACAAGGCCUUUACUGACGCUAAAGCUCGAAGGUGCGGGUAUCGAACAGGAUUAGAUACCCUGGUAGUCCGCACGGUAAACGAUGGAUGCCCGCUGUUUGCGAUAUACAGUAAGCGGCCAAGAGAAAUCGUUAAGCAUCCCACCUGGGGAGUACGCCGGCAACGGCGAAACUCAAAGGAAUUGACGGGGGCCCGCACAAGCGGAGGAACAUGUGGUUUAAUUCGAUGAUACGCGAGGAACCUUACCCGGGCUUGAACUGCAGGAGAAGGAUACAGAGAUGUUGACGCCCUUCGGGGCUCCUGUGGAGGUGCUGCAUGGUUGUCGUCAGCUCGUGCCGUGAGGUGUCGGCUUAAGUGCCAUAACGAGCGCAACCCUUGCUGUCAGUUGCCAUCAGGUAAUGCUGGGCACUCUGGCGGUACUGCCACCGUAAGGUGUGAGGAAGGUGGGGAUGACGUCAAAUCAGCACGGCCCUUACGUCCGGGGCUACACACGUGUUACAAUGGGUGGUACAGAGAGUCAGCCGCCGGCAACGUCGGUUCAAUCUUGAAAGCCAUCCUCAGUUCGGACUGGGGUCUGCAACCCGACCCCACGAAGCUGGAUUCGCUAGUAAUCGCGCAUCAGCCAUGGCGCGGUGAAUACGUUCCCGGGCCUUGCACUCACCGCCCGUCAAG
Molecule: ribosomal RNA, 1173 nt
Filed under: uncultured bacterium
Lineage: Bacteria
Description: bacterial SSU rRNA
Rfam family: Bacterial small subunit ribosomal RNA
Source: RNAcentral